GUGCGCGCGAGUCGCGGGGUGUCGAGCGUGCCGGGUUCGCGCCCGGUGCGUUCGUUACGCAACGAAACCCGUAUACGUAGAAGGCGCAAUGAAAGUGAACGGGGAAGAUGGCGUUACCGAGUACACGUUCCACGGUCACUGGUACCGAGGCCGGUCGCCCGCAUUCCCGGGGCGUCCCAACGGCCCGUCCAUGAUGCGGACGGUCGUCGCGAGACGGCCGUCGGUCGCCGGACGAACCGGGGCGCACCUAUAGCGUGCACGUUGGUACCCGAAAGAUGGUGAACUAUGCCCGGCCAGGAUGAAGUCAGGGGAAACCCUGAUGGAGGUCCGCAGCGAUUCUGACGUGCAAAUCGAUCGUCUGAGC
This 364-nucleotide ribosomal RNA is filed under the name Acanthococcus azaleae. RNAcentral describes it as "partial 28S ribosomal RNA". It matches the Rfam family "Eukaryotic large subunit ribosomal RNA", at positions 680 to 911 of the family's 3401-position model. The record is from RNAcentral. Lineage: Eukaryota; Metazoa; Arthropoda; Insecta; Hemiptera; Eriococcidae.